UGGGGCGCAGCUCAGUGGUAGAGCACUUGCCUAGCAUGUCUGAGGCACUGGGUUUGGUUCCCAGCACCAUAU
Molecule: transfer RNA, 72 nt
Filed under: Marmota monax (woodchuck)
Lineage: Eukaryota; Metazoa; Chordata; Mammalia; Rodentia; Sciuridae
Description: tRNA.Ala
Source: RNAcentral